AAAGUCGUAACAAGGUUUCCGUAGGUGAACCUGCGGAAGGAUCAUUAGAAAUCGAAAAAGGCGAUGGGCCGAGGGUGCGGGGAUGUGGGUGCGGUGGGCGAGGGCGCAAUUGGGCGCGGGUGGGCGAGGGAAUAAGUGUGCGAUGGGGGCCACAUGGCCAAACAACACACACACACAACACACAUGAUGAUUUUAUUUUAAAUUAUCCUACCACUUUUAACAACGGAUCUCUAGGCUCUU
This 240-nucleotide unclassified non-coding RNA is filed under the name Ascomycota sp. RNAcentral's name for it is "partial contains small subunit ribosomal RNA, internal transcribed spacer 1, and 5.8S ribosomal RNA". The stretch from base 1 to 47 matches the Rfam family "Eukaryotic small subunit ribosomal RNA", at positions 1785 to 1831 of the family's 1831-position model. Lineage: Eukaryota; Fungi; Ascomycota. The record is from RNAcentral.